GAGAGGACGAUCAGCCACACUGGGACUGAGACACGGCCCAGACUCCUACGGGAGGCAGCAGUGGGGAAUAUUGGACAAUGGGCGCAAGCCUGAUCCAGCAAUACCGCGUGUGUGAAGAAGGCCUUCGGGUUGUAAAGCACUUCCAAUGGGGAGGAAAACCUGCCGGUCAAUACCCGGUAGCUUGACAUUACCCAUAGAAGAAGCACCGGCUAACUCCGUGCCAGCAGCCGCGGUAAUACGGAGGGUGCAAGCGUUAAUCGGAAUUACUGGGCGUAAAGCGUGCGUAGGCGGUUCGUUAAGUCAGAUGUGAAAGCCCCGGGCUCAACCUGGGAACUGCAUUUGAAACUGGCGAACUCGAGUUGAGUAGAGGGGAGUGGAAUUUCAGGUGUAGCGGUGAAAUGCGUAGAUAUCUGAAGGAACACCAGUGGCGAAAGCGACUCCCUGGACUCAAACUGACGCUGAGGUACGAAAGCGUGGGUAGCAAACAGGAUUAGAUACCCUGGUAGUCCACGCUGUAAACGAUGUCAACUAGCCGUUGGUCCUAUUUACAGGAUUAGUGGCGCAGCUAACGCAUUAAGUUGACCGCCUGGGGAGUACGGCCGCAAGGUUAAAACUCAAAUGAAUUGACGG
RNAcentral lists this ribosomal RNA (630 nucleotides) under uncultured Methylobacter sp. RNAcentral's name for it is "bacterial SSU rRNA". It matches the Rfam family "Bacterial small subunit ribosomal RNA", at positions 294 to 916 of the family's 1533-position model. The record is from RNAcentral. Lineage: Bacteria; Pseudomonadati; Pseudomonadota; Gammaproteobacteria; Methylococcales; Methylococcaceae.